RNAcentral lists this unclassified non-coding RNA (337 nucleotides) under soil metagenome. RNAcentral describes it as "partial contains 5.8S ribosomal RNA, internal transcribed spacer 2, and large subunit ribosomal RNA". The stretch from base 1 to 120 matches the Rfam family "5.8S ribosomal RNA", at positions 35 to 154 of the family's 154-position model. The record is from RNAcentral.
GAUGAAGAACGUAGCGAAAUGCGAUAAGUAAUGUGAAUUGCAGAAUUCAGUGAAUCAUCGAAUCUUUGAACGCACAUUGCGCCCGCCAGUAUUCUGGCGGGCAUGCCUGUUCGAGCGUCAUUUCAACCAUCAAGCCCUGCUUGCGUUGGGGUCCCGCGGCUGCCCGCAGGCCCUGAAAACCAGUGGCGGGCUCGCUAGUCACACCGAGCGCAGUAGCACAUCUCGCUCAGGGCGUGCGGCGGGCUCCUGCCGUGAAACCCCCCACUGUAACCCCAGAGGUUGACCUCGGAUCAGGUAGGAAUACCCGCUGAACUUAAGCAUAUCAAUAAGCGGAGGA